This 456-nucleotide ribosomal RNA is filed under the name uncultured bacterium. Its description in RNAcentral is "bacterial SSU rRNA". It matches the Rfam family "Bacterial small subunit ribosomal RNA", at positions 340 to 786 of the family's 1533-position model. The record is from RNAcentral.
UACGGAAGGCAGCAGUGGGGAAUAUUGCACAAUGGGCGAAAGCCUGAUGCAGCUAUGCCGCGUGUAUGAAGAAGGCCUUAGGGUUGUAAAGUACUUUCAUCGGGGAGGAAAAAACAAAACUAAUAAUUUUAUUUCUUGACGUUACCCGAAAAAGAAGCACCGGCUAACUCCGUGCCAGCAGCCGCGGUAAUACGGAGGGUGCUAGCGUUAAUCAGAAUUACUGGGCAUAAAGAGCACGUAGGUGGUUUUUUUAAGUCAGAUGUGAAAUCCCUGGGCUUAACCUAGGAACUGCAUUUUGAAACUGAAAUACUAGAGUAUCGUAGAGGGAGGUAGAAUUCUAGGUGUAGCGGUGAAAUGCGUAGAUAUCUGGAGGAAUACCUGUGGCGAAAGCGGCCUCCUAAACGAAUACUGACACUGAGGUGCGAAAGCGUGGGGAGCAAACAGGGAUUAGAUACC